UUACACAUGCAAGUCGAACGGCAGCACGGACUUCGGUCUGGUGGCGAGUGGCGAACGGGUGAGUAAUACAUCGGAACGUGCCUAGUAGUGGGGGAUAACUACUCGAAAGAGUGGCUAAUACCGCAUGAGAUCUACGGAUGAAAGCAGGGGAUCGCAAGACCUUGUGCUACUAGAGCGGCUGAUGGCAGAUUAGGUAGUUGGUGGGAUAAAAGCUUACCAAGCCGACGAUCUGUAGCUGGUCUGAGAGGACGAUCAGCCACACUGGGACUGAGACACGGCCCAGACUCCUACGGGAGGCAGCAGUGGGGAAUUUUGGACAAUGGGCGCAAGCCUGAUCCAGCAAUGCCGCGUGCAGGAUGAAGGCCUUCGGGUUGUAAACUGCUUUUGUACGGAACGAAAAGCUUCGGGCUAAUACCCUGGAGUCAUGACGGUACCGUAAGAAUAAGCACCGGCUAA
RNAcentral lists this ribosomal RNA (456 nucleotides) under uncultured bacterium. RNAcentral's name for it is "bacterial SSU rRNA". It matches the Rfam family "Bacterial small subunit ribosomal RNA", at positions 49 to 500 of the family's 1533-position model. The record is from RNAcentral.